UGAAAAAACGGCCACUGUCGCCUCCAAUGUCUCGGUCGUGGGUUCGUUAUGCCACUUGUGCGUCAUUCUAAGCCGUUCUGUACAUUUAUACUGGAUAUUAAUUGGAGUCAUUUAGCUGUGCUGAUUCUGCUUGCCGUGUGUUUUGCAUCAGUGCUUCGUGACAUCGGCUGUAUUGCGUGUUUUCGCCGACGGCUUACUACCACAAUGGCGUGAUCUGCGUUCGCCGCCUUCGUGUCUCGGUGCGUCUUUGUAUACGUCGCACGUUCGGACAACACUUUUUCCGACGGCUGGACAUCCUUCUUGUACCUUGUCGCUAGCUGGAUGACGGGACCUCAUCAUGAUCAGUGUAUUGCUUGCCUAUGUCUACAAGAACCGUCACGCGUGGCCUGUAACAGCAAGCUUUUGUGGGCAGCAAGUGCUCUCCUACGAAGGCUGGCCUACUCUGGCAGCGGCGGCAAUCAUCUUCAAGAUUUAUCCAUGAUCACCUUUGCUGCUAUUUGUCACUCUUGUUGAUUACACUUUCUGCAUCUUUUCUAA
Dermacentor andersoni is the source of this 537-nucleotide non-coding RNA. Lineage: Eukaryota; Metazoa; Arthropoda; Arachnida; Ixodida; Ixodidae. The record is from RefSeq and is a predicted model, not a curated record.